UACGUAGGGUGCAAGCGUUGUCCGGAUUUAUUGGGCGUAAAGAGCUCGUAGGCGGCUCGUCGCGUCGGCUGUGAAAACCCACGGCUUAACUGUGGGCUUGCAGCUGAUACGGGCGGGCUGGAGUUCGGUAGGGGAGACUGGAAUUCCUGGUGUAGCGGUGAAAUGCGCAGAUAUCAGGAGGAACACCGGUGGCGAAGGCGGGUCUCUGGGCCGAUACUGACGCUGAGGAGCGAAAGCGUGGGGAGCGAACAGG
Molecule: ribosomal RNA, 253 nt
Filed under: uncultured bacterium
Lineage: Bacteria
Description: partial 16S ribosomal RNA
Rfam family: Bacterial small subunit ribosomal RNA
Source: RNAcentral